Long non-coding RNA from Rhipicephalus sanguineus (brown dog tick), 1065 nucleotides. RefSeq lists it as uncharacterized. Lineage: Eukaryota; Metazoa; Arthropoda; Arachnida; Ixodida; Ixodidae. The record is from RefSeq and is a predicted model, not a curated record. The transcript is spliced from 3 exons.
CUUGCCCUUGAACAUUUUCAUGUUUCUUACCUUUUCUUUGGCAUCUUGAACAUGAUUCUAACAUCCUUCACACGCAGAAUAAAAUCUAAGGUCAGAAAGCGAGCUUUCAUUCAUACAGACUAAGACGUCGGAAGACCAGUUCAUGUCCCUGGUCAAUAAUGUAAAUUAUAGCAUGAUUCUCACAAAGAGAGAUGGUGUGGAAAUUCGCAAAUGAAUUUAUCAGACUAUUUUGUGGAGCUGGUGAAAUUCUGCAAGGAAGCAUGGCAGCCGAGUUGCCAAAAGCUGAGCAAACACUUGCUAGGUGCCACGACAAACUCCAUGGUAACUAAACAAAUACUUACAUUGUGUGCCUGCUAAUUUUCUGUGUUUUCCUAUCAUUGCUCUCUCUAAAGCUAUAAAUUAGUGUUUUGCAAGUAAGAAACACUGUGCAGGGGACACUGUGCAAGUGCAGCAGGUGUGGCACCUGUUGCACCUACACUACAAGCUAUGUCAGUUGCAUCAGAAAAUGAGUGGACUGAGAAAGCGGUCGAAGAGGCUGUUUGCUCUGACCAACCAGCUCAGCAGAUGGCAGAAUUUUCGCCGUGUGAUGGUGGGCUGUUCCAUCCUUCCAACAAUAUAUGCAUCACACAAGGUCAAGCAGCAAAGCUUUUAAAAAAAAAAAACUAUUUUGGUAAGGGAUGCUGCCCAAGUUGUGUGGCGAUGUGAUACGCUUGCACAGAGGAGUGUAAAUGGAAGGCUGGCUCCCAUGAAAGCGAACAGUAGGCAGGAGCCAUCCAAACAGCUUACACCAGAAAAAGUGGACGUUGUUUAAGGUUAGUCUGUUUAUUUUUGUCACAAUACUGCAUUUUAAUUUGAAAGUGUUUAAUGCUUUUCAAUUUUCUUUUGUUGCAUAUUCCUGCAGGAAGCCUGGCUCACUGGGGCCAGGUCAACAAUAUUGAUACUACACUGGCCCACCAUAACGUGAUGCAGACUCUAAGUGAGAAAAUCCAACUCUGCAAAAAAAAAAAACCUGCGUAUGAAGUAAUGUACAGGCGAGUAUACAUGAAUAAACGGAGUCAAACAAAG